AUUGAACGCUGGCGGCAGGCCUAACACAUGCAAGUCGAACGGUAACAGGAAGCAGCUUGCUGCUUUGCUGACGAGUGGCGGACGGGUGAGUAAUGUCUGGGAAACUGCCCGAUGGAGGGGGAUAACUACUGGAAACGGUAGCUAAUACCGCAUAACGUCGCAAGACCAAAGAGGGGGACCUUAGGGCCUCUUGCCAUCGGAUGUGCCCAGAUGGGAUUAGCUAGUAGGUGGGGUAACGGCUCACCUAGGCGACGAUCCCUAGCUGGUCUGAGAGGAUGACCGGCCACACUGGAACUGAGCCACGGUCCAAACCCCUACGGGAGGCAGCAGGGGGGAAAUUUGCACAAUGGGCGCAAGCCUGAUGCAGCCAUGCCGCGGGUAUGAAAAAGGCCUUCGGGUUGAAAAGUCUUUUCAGGGGGGGGGAAGGGAAUAAAGUUAAUACCUUUGCCCUUUGACUUUACCCGCAAAAGAAGCACCGGCUAACCCCGG
This 489-nucleotide ribosomal RNA is filed under the name uncultured bacterium. RNAcentral's name for it is "partial 16S ribosomal RNA". It matches the Rfam family "Bacterial small subunit ribosomal RNA", at positions 30 to 506 of the family's 1533-position model. The record is from RNAcentral.